UGCGUAGGUGGUUUGAUAAGUUAGAUGUGAAAGUCCUGGGCUUAACCUGGGGACUGCGUCUGAUACUGUUGAGCUAGAGUUCUGUAGAGGGGGGUGGAAUUUCCGGAGUAGCGGUGAAAUGCGUAGAUAUCGGAAGGAACAUCGAUGGCGAAGGCAGCCUCCUGGACAGAAACUGACACUGAGGCACGAAAGCGUGGGAGCAAACA
RNAcentral lists this ribosomal RNA (206 nucleotides) under uncultured bacterium. RNAcentral's name for it is "partial 16S ribosomal RNA". It matches the Rfam family "Bacterial small subunit ribosomal RNA", at positions 568 to 774 of the family's 1533-position model. The record is from RNAcentral.